CGUGGGUUGAGUGAAUUACCCCGACAACGUGUUAUCAUUAUUUCAUGUCUAAAUAUAGUCUGAAUCAGAGAGUCAGUAGGGUCAUUAUUUCAUGUACGUAUGUCAAGUUAGUACUUAUGCAUGAUUACUGAUGCCCGAUGUAUGUACUCUAAAGUAAUAAAGCCAAGUUUAUAAGUUGAUCAACA
Folsomia candida is the source of this 185-nucleotide long non-coding RNA. RefSeq lists it as uncharacterized. Lineage: Eukaryota; Metazoa; Arthropoda; Collembola; Entomobryomorpha; Isotomidae. The transcript is spliced from 2 exons. The record is from RefSeq and is a predicted model, not a curated record.